GCCACCGUAGCUCAGUUGGCAGAGCAGCGGUUUUGUAAACCGCAGGUCGUCGGUUCGAGUCCGACCGGUGGCU
RNAcentral lists this transfer RNA (73 nucleotides) under Phycisphaeraceae bacterium. RNAcentral describes it as "tRNA-Thr". It matches the Rfam family "tRNA". Rfam says of the family: Transfer RNA (tRNA) molecules are approximately 80 nucleotides in length. Their secondary structure includes four short double-helical elements and three loops (D, anti-codon, and T loops). RNAcentral also lists the same sequence under 1 other name. Lineage: Bacteria; Pseudomonadati; Planctomycetota; Phycisphaerae; Phycisphaerales; Phycisphaeraceae. The record is from RNAcentral.